RNAcentral lists this ribosomal RNA (503 nucleotides) under uncultured bacterium. Its description in RNAcentral is "partial 16S ribosomal RNA". It matches the Rfam family "Bacterial small subunit ribosomal RNA", at positions 30 to 523 of the family's 1533-position model. The record is from RNAcentral.
AUUGAACGCUGGCGGCAGGCUUAGCACAUGCAAGUCGAGCGGGGUGAUGGUGCUUGCACUAUCACUUAGCGGCGGACGGGUGAGUAAUGCUUAGGAAUCUGCCUAUUAGUGGGGGACAACAUCUCGAAAGGGAUGCUAAUACCGCAUACGUCCUACGGGAGAAAGCAGGGGAUCACUUGUGACCUUGCGCUAAUAGAUGAGCCUAAGUCGGAUUAGCUAGUUGGUGGGGUAAAGGCCUACCAAGGCGACGAUCUGUAGCGGGUCUGAGAGGAUUAUCCCCCACACUGGGACUUAGACACGGCCCAGACUCCUACGGGAGGCAGCAGUAGGGAAUAUUGGACAAUGGGGGGAACCCUGAUCCAGCCAUGCCGCGUGUGUGAAGAAGGCCUUAUGGUUGUAAAGCACUUUAAGCGAGGAGGAGGCUCUUUUGGUUAAUACCCAAGAUGAGUGGACGUUACUCGCAGAAUAAGCACCGGCUAACUCUGUGCCAGCAGCCGCAGUAA